This 279-nucleotide ribosomal RNA is filed under the name uncultured bacterium. RNAcentral describes it as "partial 16S ribosomal RNA". It matches the Rfam family "Bacterial small subunit ribosomal RNA", at positions 506 to 784 of the family's 1533-position model. The record is from RNAcentral.
UGCCAGCCGCCGCGGUAAGACGGAGGUGGCAAACGCUGUUCGGAAUCACUGGGCUUAAAGGGCGUGUAGACGGCCGAUCAAGUCGGGUGUGAAAUCCCUCGGCUCAACCGUGGAAGUGCAUUUGAAACUGGAUGGCUUGAGUACUGGAGGGGGUGGUGGAAUUCCCGGUGUAGAGGUGAAAUUCGUAGAUAUCGGGAGGAAUACCGGUGGCGAAGGCGACCACCUGGCCAGAUACUGACGCUGAGGUGCGAAAGCGUGGGGAGCAAACAGGAUUAGAUA